CAGUUUUUAAUUGUCAUCUUCCCCCUCCCAUUGACUUGCAGGUUUUAUUUACAGUAAAAAAAGAACACAGGCGUCCCUAUCAAAUGGCUUGCUAAUCCUACUUCACACGACUAGAAGUUAGAAAACCUUACUGGGUUUUCAACUCCAAAGUCCAGAUUGGGAAUCCAAGAGAAGUCUUUGAGUGCAUCACUUGAAGAUAGUGCAACAAACCUUGAAGAGGUCAACAGAUCCUGCAAGUUUGGGCACAGUUAGAGUUGACUUCUCAGAAAGGAAUUGGAGACAUAUCAGGAUGAGUUUGAGAAUGAAAAGAACAUGCUUGGGGGUCAUUUGGGUGAGAAAGCAGCAGAGGAUCUAAAACAGAGAAUUAUUGAGCAUAACAUAUUAGUCGUGUCAAAAUAUUACUCUAGGAUCACAUUGAAGAGACUUGCAGAGCUGCUGUGUCUCACUCUCCAGGUUUGUUACCCACAUACCUCUUAAGUUUUUUUGGUAGAUUCAAUUCCUUUAAUUUUGUAGAUUUUCUUUCAUUUAUCGGAAAGGUGUCUUCAGGUUCUGUAUUCUCAUCUUAUACAUUCAUGGUAAAUAUACUUCAUUGUGAAGA
This is a long non-coding RNA of Nelumbo nucifera (sacred lotus), 598 nucleotides long. RefSeq lists it as uncharacterized. The record is from RefSeq and is a predicted model, not a curated record. NCBI's taxonomy places the organism in Eukaryota, Viridiplantae, Streptophyta, Magnoliopsida, Proteales, Nelumbonaceae.